GAAGGUGUGGGUGCCGCCCUAUCUAUCCUCUCCAGGCACCUCUUGACGUGUAAACUGGUAUCUGCUGGGAGGAAGGCGAGCAAAGGAGGCCCGCAGGAGUCGCCCCGUCCACAACACACUGACCACUUCCUCCUGGACACUUCUCAGGGUCUAAGUCUUGGGCAUCGUUAUUGCCCUAGGGACUCUGUGGUACUCUCAGCUUUGGAAGUGGCCUCCUCAGGGGCUGCCCUGACUUGGCUAGCCAUUGGUCUGGCACUAGGCUAACCCCAGUAACAACCUUAAAGCGAGUAGCAGAUCAGAGAGAGGAGACCUAUGCUAUUGACUGAAGAUGGAGGAAUGGUGCCUGGCGCCAGGGAGUUGGGGCAGCCUCUGGAAGCUGGGAAAAGCAAGGGAACAGAUUGUCCCUUAGAGCCUCCAGAAGUAAUAGCACUGUGGACCCACUUUAAACUUCUGACCUCCAGAAUUGUAAAAUAAUAAAUUUGUGUAGUUUU
Long non-coding RNA from Hyaena hyaena (striped hyena), 491 nucleotides. RefSeq lists it as uncharacterized. The transcript has 3 exons. NCBI's taxonomy places the organism in Eukaryota, Metazoa, Chordata, Mammalia, Carnivora, Hyaenidae. The record is from RefSeq and is a predicted model, not a curated record.